AAAAAAAAAAAGAAAGAUGUUGUGUAAUAAGUGAAGUCUUUCCAGAAGUUCCGACCAACUAAAAGAAAGGUGUAAAGGUGAAGCACGGGAAAAGUUGAGACUAAAAUGCAGAAAUUCCAAGUAAAGAAACGUUUUCACCAAGUUUGUUGAGUUCCCAAAUUUUUAAUACAUGACGAAGCGACUAGUGCGGCUAAAGAAGAAACUGACUGGCCGUGAAGAAUGGGGUAUAAGUCCAAACUCAAACCAGAUACAGCGUUAAAGCGCAACAUGUAUCGCAAGUUUCACUUUUAUACAUCUAUGGCUUCAAACUUGAGAUAUAGUAAAUUCGAGACCUAAUAUACAAUCACCAAGUCAACCCAAAGUAUUUAUUAACAUUUCGGUCAAACGUUCGGGAGAAAAAGGAGGGAAUCUGCUUUCUUGCCAGAGAUACAUCCCUUUGUAUCAGUAGCACUCAUCAUGUAACAUGUAGACAUAAAAAGAUAUAUCUCUAC
RNAcentral lists this long non-coding RNA (491 nucleotides) under Malus domestica (apple). Its description in RNAcentral is "long non-coding RNA (MDOM_LNC005114)". The record is from RNAcentral. Lineage: Eukaryota; Viridiplantae; Streptophyta; Magnoliopsida; Rosales; Rosaceae.